Molecule: transfer RNA, 111 nt
Filed under: Hydrogenophaga aromaticivorans
Lineage: Bacteria; Pseudomonadati; Pseudomonadota; Betaproteobacteria; Burkholderiales; Comamonadaceae
Description: tRNA-Leu
Source: RNAcentral
AGGCGUUACAUGAGGAGGUAAGUCCCUGGAGGUCCCACGUUGUCCCAGAUCGACCCACAAGAUGGACUCAUAAUCCUUUGGUCGUUGGUUCAAGUCCAACACGGCCUACCA